UACGUAGGUGGCAAGCGUUGUCCGGAUUUAUUGGGCGUAAAGCGAGCGCAGGCGGUUUCUUAAGUCUGAUGUGAAAGCCCCCGGCUCAACCGGAGAGGGUCAUUGGAAACUGGGAGACUUGAGUGCAGAAGAGGAGAGUGGAAUUCCAUGUGUAGCGGUGAAAUGCGUAGAUAUAUGGAGGAACACCAGUGGCGAAGGCGGCUCUCUGGUCUGUAACUGACGCUGAGGCUCGAAAGCGUGGGGAGCAAACAGGAUUAGAUA
This 261-nucleotide ribosomal RNA is filed under the name uncultured Enterococcaceae bacterium. RNAcentral describes it as "partial 16S ribosomal RNA". It matches the Rfam family "Bacterial small subunit ribosomal RNA", at positions 524 to 784 of the family's 1533-position model. Lineage: Bacteria; Bacillati; Bacillota; Bacilli; Lactobacillales; Enterococcaceae. The record is from RNAcentral.